GGUGCUAUCGUAUAACGGUUAAUACACCCACCCUUCACGUGGGGAACGCAAGUUCGAUUCUUGUUAGCGCUGCAA
RNAcentral lists this transfer RNA (75 nucleotides) under Rhodanobacter glycinis. RNAcentral describes it as "tRNA-Glu". It matches the Rfam family "tRNA". Rfam says of the family: Transfer RNA (tRNA) molecules are approximately 80 nucleotides in length. Their secondary structure includes four short double-helical elements and three loops (D, anti-codon, and T loops). Lineage: Bacteria; Pseudomonadati; Pseudomonadota; Gammaproteobacteria; Lysobacterales; Rhodanobacteraceae. The record is from RNAcentral.